CUUUUUCUUCUUCUCUUCAGUUUACACAAAGUGGUUUUCAUUUUUUUAUAUGCAUUGCACACUUUUCUAUUCGUAUUUGUAAGUUUUUUAGAUGUUAAUGUAAACGAACCAUAACUAUGUAGCCCUAUUCCUAUUAGAUUGACCCCAAAAUAGCAUAUCCAAAUUACGAGGAAGUCAAUCGAUGCCAUAAUUGCGGAAUUUAUGCCCUUCUAUUUUUUAAUCCAGAAUCGAAUAUGUAGAUAAAUCAUUUUUACGAUCCAAGUAAUAAAUGCCCAAGUUUCCUUGGGGUACCAACUCCAAUAUGAUCUUCAUGCUUCGUUAGCCCAUACUGCUCUAGAAAGUAACCCUAUGGUUAAAAAGAUAAAUCCUAGACCAAUAACCCAAUACAUCCAAUAAUUCAAUUGUUAAAUCUGUGAUAAUUCAUCGGAGAAAAAAAGAAGUAUUCUAUAAAAACAUCGCUUCUUUCAUUCAUGUAUUCAAUUUCACCAAAGAAAAUGGCUAGUUUAAAUUUAAUAAAUGAUUAUUUCUAAAAAAAAAAAAAAAGGCUUUCUAUUUUUUUAACUGUAAUUACUAGAAGUGCUACUGAUAAUACCGAUCCACAUAAAAGGGCUACAUAGCCUAAUAUCAUUAUUCUUGCAUUAUUAGCCACUCUGAUUGAAGAGCCAGUACUAAUAUUGCAGACUCUAGUAUUUCAAACAUAAAGUAGCAAGGCUUUGGAUAAAACUAGCACCUCGGCCUAUUAUUGGCUUAAAAAAAUUUCAACUUUUUUUUUCUUGAAAUACAUAACUAUAUGAAUGAAGAUUA
Molecule: long non-coding RNA, 804 nt
Filed under: Olea europaea subsp. europaea
Lineage: Eukaryota; Viridiplantae; Streptophyta; Magnoliopsida; Lamiales; Oleaceae
Source: RNAcentral